RNAcentral lists this ribosomal RNA (784 nucleotides) under bacterium enrichment culture clone BH72. RNAcentral's name for it is "bacterial SSU rRNA". It matches the Rfam family "Bacterial small subunit ribosomal RNA", at positions 56 to 828 of the family's 1533-position model. The record is from RNAcentral.
UGCAGUCGUACGGCAACACAGUUGCGAGCAAUCGCAACCGGUGGCGAGUGGCGCACGGGUGAGUAACGCGUAUGUAACCUACCCUUCUCCGGGACAUAACUCCGCGAAAGCGGUGCUAAUAUCCCAUACCAACUCAUCAAGACAUCUUCUUGAGUUGAAAGCAGCAAUGCGGUGAAGGAUGGGCAUGCGUCCCAUUAGCUGGUUGGUGAGGUAAUGGCCCACCAAGGCUACGAUGGGUAGGGGUUCUGAGAGGAAAGCCCCCCACACUGGUACUGAGACACGGACCAGACUCCUACGGGAGGCAGCAGUAAGGAAUAUUGGGCAAUGGUCGAAAGACUGACCCAGCCAUGCCGCGUGCAGGAUGAAGGCCCUAUGGGUUGUAAACUGCUUUUAGCCGGGAAUAAACACCCGUUUUAUAACGGGCCCGAAGGUACCGGCUGAAUAAGCAUCGGCUAACUCCGUGCCAGCAGCCGCGGUAAUACGGAGGAUGCAAGCGUUAUCCGGAUUCACUGGGUUUAAAGGGUGCGCAGGCGGACAUUUAAGUCAGGGGUGAAAUCCUACAGCUUAACUGUAGAACUGCCCUUGAUACUGAAUGCCUAGAGUAAAGCUGAAGUGGGCGGAAUGUGUUGUGUAGCGGUGAAAUGCUUAGAUAUAACACAGAACACCAAUCGCGAAGGCAGCUCACUAAACUUUAACUGACGCUCAUGCACGAAAGCGUGGGGAGCAAACAGGAUUAGAUACCCUGGUAGUCCACGCCCUAAACGAUGAUCACUCGCUGUUGGCG